CUGGUUUCAAAAGAAACAGAAUGAACCUAGUAAACACAUUGCAUGUGUGUUUGCUUUUGCAGAGCAUUAAGAUAAAUGGAAAACAACUUUUUAGGUUCAAAAGGACACACCUGCAGACAACACAGAGACUAUAUUAACAUCCCUGCCAGCAGGUCCCCAGCCCCCAGUUCUCCACCUUUCCUGCUGACCAGGUAACUUCUCUCAAUAAUAAUCAGAUGGAGCGCCUGGCACUGAGAAAGGAGUCAUGGACACCAAUUCAACAACACCCUAUUUCGCCUCUUCUCGAAACUUCAGUGUCUCCGAUAUCAUUGUGAUUGUGGCUUAUUUUGUGUUGAAUGUAGCAGUUGGAAUAUGGGUAAGAGCUUUUUUUUUGUUACAUUUGUUUUCUGGAGUUCCAAGAAAUAAGGAAACUGACAUUUCGAUCAAAACUUCUUUUCUGCACCUAGACUGAUGGCUUGUUGCUGAUAAAGAUCGCAAGGUGUGGUUCA
Polyodon spathula (Mississippi paddlefish) is the source of this 488-nucleotide long non-coding RNA. RefSeq lists it as uncharacterized. The record is from RefSeq and is a predicted model, not a curated record. Lineage: Eukaryota; Metazoa; Chordata; Actinopteri; Acipenseriformes; Polyodontidae. The transcript is spliced from 3 exons.